This 82-nucleotide transfer RNA is filed under the name Flavobacteriaceae bacterium. RNAcentral describes it as "tRNA-Leu". It matches the Rfam family "tRNA". From Rfam's summary of the family: Transfer RNA (tRNA) molecules are approximately 80 nucleotides in length. Their secondary structure includes four short double-helical elements and three loops (D, anti-codon, and T loops). Lineage: Bacteria; Pseudomonadati; Bacteroidota; Flavobacteriia; Flavobacteriales; Flavobacteriaceae. The record is from RNAcentral.
GCACGGUUGCCCGAGAGGUCUAAGGGGGCAGACUUAAGAUCUGCUAUCUUCGGAUGCGUGGGUUCGAACCCCACACCGUGCA